This 327-nucleotide unclassified non-coding RNA is filed under the name soil metagenome. Its description in RNAcentral is "partial contains 5.8S ribosomal RNA, internal transcribed spacer 2, and large subunit ribosomal RNA". The stretch from base 1 to 120 matches the Rfam family "5.8S ribosomal RNA", at positions 35 to 154 of the family's 154-position model. The record is from RNAcentral.
GAUGAAGAACGCAGUGAAAUGCGAUAAGUAAUGUGAAUUGCAGAAUUCAGUGAAUCAUCGAAUCUUUGAACGCACAUUGCGCCCCUUGGUAUUCCGGGGGGCAUGCCUGUUCGAGCGUCAUUAUAACCCCUCAAGCUCAGCUUGGUGUUGGGGCCUGCCAACUGGCAGCCCUUAAAAUCAGUGGCGGCGCCAUCUGGCUCUAAGCGUAGUAAUUUCUCUCGCUAUAGGGUCCCGGUGGAUGCUGGCCAACAACCCCCAAUUUUCUAUGGUUGACCUCGGAUCAGGUAGGGAUACCCGCUGAACUUAAGCAAAUCAAUAAGCGGAGGA